RNAcentral lists this ribosomal RNA (301 nucleotides) under uncultured bacterium. RNAcentral describes it as "partial 16S ribosomal RNA". It matches the Rfam family "Bacterial small subunit ribosomal RNA", at positions 509 to 809 of the family's 1533-position model. The record is from RNAcentral.
CAGUAGCCGCGGUAAAACAGAGGGUGCAAGCGUUAAUCGGAAUUACUGGGCGUAAAGCGCGCGUAGGUGGUUUGUUAAGUUGGUUGUGAAAGCCCCGGGCUCAACCUGGGAACUGCAUCCAAAACUGGCAAGCUAGAGUACGGUAGAGGGUGGUGGAAUUUCCUGUGUAGCGGUGAAAUGCGUAGAUAUAGGAAGGAACACCAGUGGCGAAGGCGACCACCUGGACUGAUACUGACACUGAGGUGCGAAAGCGUGGGGAGCAAACAGGAUUAGAUACCCGGGUAGUCCCUGUCUCUUAUAU